UGGGGAAUUUUGGACAAUGGGCGAAAGCCUGAUCCAGCAAUGCCGCGUGUGUGAAGAAGGCCUUCGGGUUGUAAAGCACUUUUGUCCGGAAAGAAAUCCUCUGGGUUAAUACCUCGGGGGGAUGACGGUACCGGAAGAAUAAGCACCGGCUAACUACGUGCCAGCAGCCGCGGUAAUACGUAGGGUGCAAGCGUUAAUCGGAAUUACUGGGCGUAAAGCGUGCGCAGGCGGUUUUGUAAGACGGAUGUGAAAUCCCCGGGCUUAACCUGGGAACUGCAUUCGUGACUGCAAGGCUAGAGUAUGGCAGAGGGGGGUAGAAUUCCACGUGUAGCAGUGAAAUGCGUAGAGAUGUGGAGGAAUACCGAUGGCGAAGGCAGCCCCCUGGGCCAAUACUGACGCUCAUGCACGAAAGCGUGGGGAGCAAAACAGGAUUAGAUACCCUGGUAGUCCACGCCCUAAACGAUGUCAACUAGUUGUUGGGGAUUCAUUUCCUUAGUAACGUAGCUAACGCGUGAAGUUGACCGCCUGGGGAGUACGGUCGCAAAGAUUAAAACUUAAAUGAAUUGACGGGGUCAUAGCUGUUUCCU
RNAcentral lists this ribosomal RNA (587 nucleotides) under uncultured bacterium. Its description in RNAcentral is "partial 16S ribosomal RNA". It matches the Rfam family "Bacterial small subunit ribosomal RNA", at positions 355 to 1375 of the family's 1533-position model. The record is from RNAcentral.